Molecule: ribosomal RNA, 497 nt
Filed under: uncultured bacterium
Lineage: Bacteria
Description: partial 16S ribosomal RNA
Rfam family: Bacterial small subunit ribosomal RNA
Source: RNAcentral
GAUGAACGCUGGCGGCGUGCCUAAUACAUGCAAGUCGAGCGAACGGACGAGAAGCUUGCUUCUCUGAUGUUAGCGGCGGACGGGUGAGUAACACGUGGAUAACCUACCUAUAAGACUGGGAUAACUUCGGGAAACCGGAGCUAAUACCGGAUAAUAUUUUGAACCGCAUGGUUCAAAAGUGAAAGACGGUCUUGCUGUCACUUAUAGAUGGAUCCGCUCUGCAUUAGCUAGUUGGUAAGGUAACGGCUUACCAAGGCAACGAUGCAUAGCCGACCUGAGAGGGUGAUCGGCCACACUGGAACUGAGACACGGUCCAGACUCCUACGGGAGGCAGCAGUAGGGAAUCUUCCGCAAUGGGCGAAAGCCUGACGGAGCAACGCCGCGUGAGUGAUGAAGGUCUUCGGAUCGUAAAACUCUGUUAUUAGGGAAGAACAUAUGUGUAAGUAACUGUGCACAUCUUGACGGUACCUAAUCAGAAAGCAACGGCUAACUACGUG